CCUACGGGUGGCAGCAGUGAGGAAUAUUGGUCAAUGGACGAGAGUCUGAACCAGCCAAGUAGCGUGAAGGAUGACUGCCCUAUGGGUUGUAAACUUCUUUUAUAUGGGAAUAAAACAGGGCACGUAUACCUUUUUGCAUGUACUAUAUGAAUAAGGAUCGGCUAACUCCGUGCCAGCAGCCGCGGUAAUACGGAGGAUCCGAGCGUUAUCCGGAUUUAUUGGGUUUAAAGGGAGCGUAGGUGGGUUGUUAAGUCAGUUGUGAAAGUUUGCGGCUCAACCGUAAAAUUGCAGUUGAUACUGGCAGUCUUGAGUACAGUUGAGGUAGGCGGAAUUCGUGGUGUAGCGGUGAAAUGCUUAGAUAUCACGAAGAACUCCGAUUGCGAAGGCAGCUUACUAAACUGCGACUGACACUGAUGCUCGAAAGUGUGGGUAUCAAACAGGAUUAGAUACCCUGGUAGUC
This 460-nucleotide ribosomal RNA is filed under the name uncultured bacterium. RNAcentral's name for it is "partial 16S ribosomal RNA". It matches the Rfam family "Bacterial small subunit ribosomal RNA", at positions 338 to 795 of the family's 1533-position model. The record is from RNAcentral.